RNAcentral lists this transfer RNA (523 nucleotides) under uncultured bacterium. RNAcentral describes it as "partial contains 16S ribosomal RNA, 16S-23S ribosomal RNA intergenic spacer, and 23S ribosomal RNA". The stretch from base 202 to 275 matches the Rfam family "tRNA". The record is from RNAcentral.
UGCGGCUGGAUCCCCUCCUUUCUAAGGAUAGCGCUGUACUGCGCCUGGCCCUGCCAGGAAGUGCGUCAGCCGUUCCAAAGAACAUUAGCCGCCGUCCUCAUGUCCCUUCAUCCCUGGAAAUUCGAUACUCAUCGCGAGUAUCGGAAGCCUGAGCUGGCUCACGCCGCUUGGCGGUCGUUACGGCCGGCCUGGCAUGGCGAUGGGCCGGUAGCUCAGGUGGUUAGAGCGCACGCCUGAUAAGCGUGAGGUCGUAGGUUCAACUCCUACUCGGCCCACCAUCGUCAAGAGCGGCGCUGGCUGCACUGUCUAGCGACGCAACGGGGCCUUAGCUCAGUUGGGAGAGCGCUAGCUUUGCAAGCUUGAGGUCGUCGGUUCGAUCCCGACAGGCUCCACCAUAUUCCAGGGAUCUCGAAAGGGAAAACGGAUCCGCAUGCUUCGGCAUGUGGUGACGGUCAUCCGACCUGUCUUUGACAUUGUGAAUGGGUUCUAGAAAUCGAUGCCGCGAGGCGCGUUUCUGGCGAGU